CCUACGGGUGGCAGCAGUGAGGAAUAUUGGUCAAUGGACGGAAGUCUGAACCAGCCAUGCCGCGUGCAGGAAGACGGCUCUAUGAGUUGUAAACUGCUUUUGUACAAGGGUAAACCUGAAUACGUGUAUUCAGCUGAAAGUACUGUACGAAUAAGGAUCGGCUAACUCCGUGCCAGCAGCCGCGGUAAUACGGAGGAUCCAAGCGUUAUCCGGAUUUAUUGGGUUUAAAGGGUGCGCAGGCGGAAUGUCAAGUCAGCGGUAAAAUUUCGGGGCUCAACCCCGUCGUGCCGUUGAAACUGGCGUUCUUGAGUGAGCGAGAAGUAUGCGGAAUGCGUGGUGUAGCGGUGAAAUGCAUAGAUAUCACGCAGAACUCCGAUUGCGAAGGCAGCAUACCGGCGCUCAACUGACGCUCAUGCACGAAAGCGUGGGUAUCGAACAGGAUUAGAUACCCCAGUAGUC
Molecule: ribosomal RNA, 459 nt
Filed under: uncultured bacterium
Lineage: Bacteria
Description: partial 16S ribosomal RNA
Rfam family: Bacterial small subunit ribosomal RNA
Source: RNAcentral